RNAcentral lists this ribosomal RNA (468 nucleotides) under uncultured bacterium. RNAcentral's name for it is "partial 16S ribosomal RNA". It matches the Rfam family "Bacterial small subunit ribosomal RNA", at positions 28 to 507 of the family's 1533-position model. The record is from RNAcentral.
GACGAACGCUGGCGGCGUGCUUAACACAUGCAAGUCGAACGGAAAGGCCCUGCUUUUGUGGGGUGCUCGAGUGGCGAACGGGUGAGUAACACGUGAGUAACCUGCCCUUGACUUUGGGAUAACUUCAGGAAACUGGGGCUAAUACCGGAUAGGAGCUCCUGCUGCAUGGUGGGGGUUGGAAAGUUUCGGCGGUUGGGGAUGGACUCGCGGCUUAUCAGCUUGUUGGUGGGGUAGUGGCUUACCAAGGCUUUGACGGGUAGCCGGCCUGAGAGGGUGACCGGCAACAUUGGGACUGAGAUACGGACCAGAAUCCUACGGGAGGCAGCAGUGGGGAAUAUUGCACAAUGGGCGGAAGCCUGAUGCAGCAACGCCGCGUGCGGGAUGACGGCCUUCGGGUUGUAAACCGCUUUCGCCUGUGACGAAGCGUGAGUGACGGUAAUGGGUAAAGAAGCACCGGCUAACUACGUG